RNAcentral lists this long non-coding RNA (473 nucleotides) under Suricata suricatta (meerkat). RNAcentral describes it as "lncRNA (ENSSSUG00005023020.1)". Lineage: Eukaryota; Metazoa; Chordata; Mammalia; Carnivora; Herpestidae. The record is from RNAcentral.
GAGGAAGAGAGCAGAUGAGAGAGAGAGAGAGAGAGACUGACUCAAGAUGGAAGCUAUAGCCUUUUUAUAACCUAAUCUCAGAAAUGACAGCUUAUCACUUUUGUUGCUUUCUAUUUGUCAGAAGCAGCUCCGUGAGUGCGGCCCACACUUAAGGAAAGACCACACAAGACGACACAAGAGACUACACAAGAUGACACUCUGAAUGCUGGGAGCCGGGAAUCAUUGGAGCAUCUUAGAAGAUGCUUACUCUAGUCUCCAAAGUCUCAGAGACAUUGGACCUAGAAUGAAUCUCACGACCUUUACUGGUGGGGAUCUAGGAUGCAGACAAAGGAAUGAAUCAUUUCGGAUCCUCAGCCUGGCGAUGGCGAAGAGCAAGAUGGAGCCAGUGGCCGUGUGCAGCACAGGUAACAUGAUGGUUCAGAAUUAGAGGUUUUUCUUCUCUUCUGUUUUGUUUUGUUUUUUUUGUUUUGGAG